This 494-nucleotide ribosomal RNA is filed under the name uncultured bacterium. RNAcentral describes it as "bacterial SSU rRNA". It matches the Rfam family "Bacterial small subunit ribosomal RNA", at positions 28 to 514 of the family's 1533-position model. The record is from RNAcentral.
GAUGAACGCUAGCGGCAGGCUUAAUACAUGCAAGUCGUGGGGCAGCAGGUUUGUAGCAAUACAGAUGCUGGCGACCGGCAAACGGGUGCGGAACACGUACAGAACCUUCCUUUGAGCGGGGAAUAGCCCAGAGAAAUUUGGAUUAAUACCCCAUAGUAUAAUGAAGUGGCAUCACUUUAUUAUUAAAGAUUUAUCACUCGAAGAUGGCUGUGCGGCUGAUUAGGUAGUUGGCGGGGUAAAGGCCCACCAAGCCUGCGAUCAGUAACUGGUGUGAGAGCACGACCAGUCACACGGGCACUGAGACACGGGCCCGACUCCUACGGGAGGCAGCAGUAAGGAAUAUUGGUCAAUGGAGGCAACUCUGAACCAGCCAUGCCGCGUGGAGGAUGAAGGUCCUCUGGAUUGUAAACUUCUUUAUAUGGGACGAAAAAAGGCUUUUCUAAGUCGUCUGACGGUACCAUAUGAAUAAGCACCGGCUAACUCCGUGCCAGCAG